GCCUGGGUAGCUCAGUUGGUUAGAGCGUGGUGCUGAUAACCCCAAGAUUGUAGGUUCAAUCCCCAUAUGGGACA
Molecule: transfer RNA, 74 nt
Filed under: Podarcis lilfordi (Lilford's wall lizard)
Lineage: Eukaryota; Metazoa; Chordata; Lepidosauria; Squamata; Lacertidae
Rfam family: tRNA
About the family: Transfer RNA (tRNA) molecules are approximately 80 nucleotides in length. Their secondary structure includes four short double-helical elements and three loops (D, anti-codon, and T loops).
Source: Rfam by way of RNAcentral